RNAcentral lists this ribosomal RNA (131 nucleotides) under Peromyscus maniculatus bairdii (prairie deer mouse). Lineage: Eukaryota; Metazoa; Chordata; Mammalia; Rodentia; Cricetidae. The record is from RNAcentral.
GGCCAUACCACCCUGAACGUGCCCGAUCUCGUCUGAUCUCGGAAGCUAAGCAGGGUCGGGCCUGGUUAGUACUUGGAUGGGGGACAUUUUUAUUAAACCACUACAAAAAAAAAAAAAAAAAUCCAGGUGCU